UCAUCCACACGUAUUUCCACAGAAGUUUUUAAACAACAAUUUUCAGUUUUUAAACUCAAAUACCAAACGGCCUCUAAUUUUUCGACAAUUGGACUCGUAAUGAAUUUUGCAAAAAAUCAAAAUUGAGUUUGGAAAUUCACUCUUGAAGACUUAAUUCUUGAAUUUGUUAAAUUCAAUUUAGAGAUCAUUUUGUAUUAAUGGGCAUGUUCAGCAUUUUGUUUGCUUUUGGGCUUUCUUUUCUUUGACUUUGAAAUUUUUUGGAGUUUUGGAAGAACCAUUGGGUCCAUAAUAAGUCCAAUUCUUGAAAUGAAUUUUUGGGCUUCUUUCUUUUGUUUGGUGGGCAGGGUAUUGGCCUGGGUUAUUAGAUUAAAGUAGUAUUCUACUAUUCUUUCAGCUCUCUUCGAAUUUAUGUAUUUUUCCUGAUAUUUUCAUUUAUUGGCUGUUGUUGUGAUUAGUUCAAAAUUUUAAUUGCAAUUUUCUUCCUUUCUUGGCUGUUGUUAUGAUUAGUUCUUGAUGUGUUGGAUUUUGAAUUAGUUGUAAUGAUUGGCAAGCUUUGGUGAUGGAAAUGGUCUUCAAUUCUUGUGCGUGGAUUCUUUGCACACAAUGUGUUUGUUGAAAGGAGUCAAUGAGUGCAACUUCUGGUUCUAUUGUGAAUUAGAUUAUCGUUGUUACUUGAAAAAUGCUUGGUGUGGUCUGGGAAAGUUGAAUUGGAGGUUGAAUGAAAAUUUUGUGUGGGGUGGGAAAUUUGAAUUGAUAAUGGCAUAAGUGACACCAAUGGGCUAAGCAAGCAAUGGCUAUGGCUAUGCCAAGGAUGCCUUUUGGAUAUCAUUUGUGACCUUGUUCAACGCUUGUGUUUGAAUGAGUAUGAGACUUGUAUUGUGCCUUUUGGAAUGAUUUGGACCCAAUGGACUUGACAUGUGCGAUAUUAGUGCAUCUUGGAACUUGUGAUUUUCAUUUUACGUAAGUAUUUGUGGAAAUGCCUCAAUGAAGUGGCUUUUUAGUUAUUUGGAGUGUUAAUUUGUUUGCUUACAGUUGUGGUUUGUUUUAAGCUUGGCAUUGAAGGUGUUUUUUAGCUGAGUGAAAAUGAAUGAUGACAUGUUUGUUUGACUUACCGCUUGAGACAUGAUUCAUGCAAUGGUGAAUCAAUGCCUUGUAUGUGACCAUGUUAUUGUGAGCACAUAUGUUGUUUUCAGCCUUCUCAAGAUAUACAUGUGCAUCAAACAUGUUAAACUUUGUAAACCAUGAACAUAUAUCAUGCACGAGAGGCGUUUGCUUGAGAUUUACAACCUUGCUGGGAUGAUGUUUUACCUUGGUACUCCUGUUGUAUUCUGGGCUCUUGUUUUAAACUCUUAUGUUGGUGGGCCAAAAUCAACCCACCAUUGAAUGGAAGAUACAAGAAGUGGACUCUAGUCAUUUCUUGGAUUCAAUUUUGAAGGAUGAUGGGCAUCCAACUAUGCAGAAGUAUAAAUCCCUUAUGAUCUUGAGCACUCUUGGGCAUUUUUGGGACACAAAGGAACACCUUGUACUUCCAGCAUUUGGGUGAAGUGAUCCUUAUGAUUGAAGUAUUGACUGUCAUUUAAAAAUAUCAUGAUUGGUGGGCUGUGCCUGAGGAUGGGCUAUGACAUUGGAGUCAACAAGAAAGCCAUUAAGUAAGCACUUGGAAAUCUGCCACCCUCGGCGAAAGGUGAUGGGGCACAGCUAACCUGGUUCUAUACCCAUUACUCACAACCAACUUCAACAUUGGGAGUGACUCAAUGUGUAAAAGCCUUAAUGCUUUUCAUGUUGGGGAGUGCACUUAUUUCGAGCAAGGGGAUAUUGUGCUCUUGUCGUACCUUCCCUACUUUGAAGACAUUGAUAGGAAUGGGGUGGAGUUCCAUAUGCCACUUUUCCACCAAAUUUUGCAGUACUUCCAUUGCACCUUCAAGAGCUCCGGAGGUUGUGAGAGUUGGUGCCUGUGUGAAGGUUUAUGACCUAUGGUUAUUCUGGCUUUCAAACUUUAAAAGUGAAGGGUCCUCUUGAGAAUGCCCUUCUGCAGGUUGCUAGAUGGUCCAUAACUAACCAAAAUAGCAAAGACCAAGAAGAGAUUGUCUAUUCAAGAAUUGAGGCACUUCAUUAACAACAUUAUUAUUGAAGUGAUAAGCUCAACCCCUUUUUU
This is a long non-coding RNA of Quercus lobata, 2155 nucleotides long. RefSeq lists it as uncharacterized. Lineage: Eukaryota; Viridiplantae; Streptophyta; Magnoliopsida; Fagales; Fagaceae. The transcript has 2 exons. The record is from RefSeq and is a predicted model, not a curated record.